This 498-nucleotide ribosomal RNA is filed under the name uncultured bacterium. RNAcentral describes it as "partial 16S ribosomal RNA". It matches the Rfam family "Bacterial small subunit ribosomal RNA", at positions 28 to 507 of the family's 1533-position model. The record is from RNAcentral.
GACGAACGCUGGCGGCGUGCUUAACACAUGCAAGUCGAACGGGCCCGCCCCUGUUUUUGGGGUUGGUUGAGUGGCGAACGGGUGAGUAACACGUGAGUAAACUGCCCCCUUCUCCUGGAUAAAUGCUUGAAAGGGCGGCUAAUACGGGGUUUGCCGGCCUGUUCCCCAGGGGCUGGUCGGGGUUGUUUUAUCUUCGGGGGGUUCGGGGGGGGAUUGGGUCGCGGCCUAUCAGCUUGUUGGUGGGGGGAUGGCCCACCAAGGCGGUGACGGGUAGCCGGCCUGAGAGGGUGGGCGGCCACACUGGGACUGAGACACGGCCCAGACUCCUGCGGGAGGCAGCAGUGGGGGGUAUUGCACAAUGGGCGGAAGCCUGAUGCAGCGACGUCGCGUGAGGGAUGGAGGCCUUCGGGUUGUGAACCUCUUUCUCCGGUGGUGAAGGCCCUGUCCGUUGCGGCGGGGUUGACGGUAGCCGGGUAUGAAGCGCCGGCUAACUACGUG